This 253-nucleotide ribosomal RNA is filed under the name uncultured bacterium. RNAcentral's name for it is "partial 16S ribosomal RNA". It matches the Rfam family "Bacterial small subunit ribosomal RNA", at positions 524 to 776 of the family's 1533-position model. The record is from RNAcentral.
UACGAAGGGGGCUAGCGUUGUUCGGAAUUACUGGGCGUAAAGCGCACGUAGGCGGGUCGUUAAGUCAGGGGUGAAAUCCCAGAGCUCAACUCUGGAACUGCCUUUGAUACUGGCGACCUAGAGUUCGGAAGAGGUUAGUGGAAUUCCCAGUGUAGAGGUGAAACUCGUAGAUAUUGGGAAGAACACCAGUGGCGAAGGCGGCUAACUGGUCCGAUACUGACGCUGAGGUGCGAAAGCGUGGGGAGCAAACAGG